This 76-nucleotide transfer RNA is filed under the name Escherichia coli. RNAcentral describes it as "tRNA-Arg(tct)". It matches the Rfam family "tRNA". From Rfam's summary of the family: Transfer RNA (tRNA) molecules are approximately 80 nucleotides in length. Their secondary structure includes four short double-helical elements and three loops (D, anti-codon, and T loops). Further hydrogen bonds mediate the characteristic L-shaped molecular structure. tRNAs have two regions of fundamental functional importance: the anti-codon, which is responsible for specific mRNA codon recognition, and the 3' end, to which the tRNAs corresponding amino acid is attached (by aminoacyl-tRNA synthetases). tRNAs cope with the degeneracy of the genetic code in two manners: having more than one tRNA (with a specific anti-codon) for a particular amino acid; and 'wobble' base-pairing, i.e. permitting non-standard base-pairing at the 3rd anti-codon position. Lineage: Bacteria; Pseudomonadati; Pseudomonadota; Gammaproteobacteria; Enterobacterales; Enterobacteriaceae. The record is from RNAcentral.
GCGUUGUUAGCUCAGCCGGACAGAGCAAUUGCCUUCUAAGCAAUCGGUCAUGGUUCGAAUCCAGUACAACGCGCCA